CUUGAUCGAACCGAGCAGCAGCGGCCGGUCGGCGGACUUCUCCCGGCCGUAGGUGGCCAGCAGCGCCUGCGCCUC
Streptomyces albus subsp. albus is the source of this 75-nucleotide non-coding RNA. NCBI's taxonomy places the organism in Bacteria, Bacillati, Actinomycetota, Actinomycetes, Kitasatosporales, Streptomycetaceae. The record is from Rfam.